GUCUAUGGCCAUACCACCCUGAACACGUCUGAUCUAGUCUGAUCUCGGAAGCUAAGUACUUGGAUGGGAGAAAGAGUAAGUAAGAGAGGGGAGUCAUCUGAUUAAAAUACCUAUCUACAUGUG
This 123-nucleotide ribosomal RNA is filed under the name Castor canadensis (American beaver). Lineage: Eukaryota; Metazoa; Chordata; Mammalia; Rodentia; Castoridae. The record is from RNAcentral.